AGAAAAAACGACUUGUGAAACAGGGCUGCUAACUUUGUUUUGAGUAUUUAGGCGUACUCUUUUUCUU
Molecule: transfer RNA, 67 nt
Filed under: Cerithidea djadjariensis
Lineage: Eukaryota; Metazoa; Mollusca; Gastropoda; Potamididae
Also listed under: 1 other name
Description: tRNA-Ser(AGN)
Source: RNAcentral